UCGAGGAUACCCAGAACGGCUCCUUGGGAGGCAGAAUCGACUGGAGCAUUUCCAGCUCCGGUGAGGGGAACUCCAGGAGUCUCAUCGUCGUUGAUGACCGCCAUUGAAGACAAUGGAUUGCAGGGGACGAGAACGAGCGGAAGGAGAAGAAGAUCAGUUAGGCGGAAGCAUGCAAAUGGAUCGAGGAUUGACGAGAUCCCUCUGAUACCAUGU
Molecule: long non-coding RNA, 213 nt
Filed under: Linum usitatissimum (flax)
Lineage: Eukaryota; Viridiplantae; Streptophyta; Magnoliopsida; Malpighiales; Linaceae
Description: long non-coding RNA (LUSI_LNC002460)
Source: RNAcentral